This 497-nucleotide ribosomal RNA is filed under the name uncultured bacterium. RNAcentral describes it as "partial 16S ribosomal RNA". It matches the Rfam family "Bacterial small subunit ribosomal RNA", at positions 28 to 507 of the family's 1533-position model. The record is from RNAcentral.
GAUGAACGCUGGCGGCGUGCCUAAUACAUGCAAGUCGAGCGAACAGACGAGGAGCUUGCUCCUUCGACGUUAGCGGCGGACGGGUGAGUAACACGUAGGUAACCUACCUAUAAGACUGGGAUAACUUCGGGAAACCGGAGCUAAUACCGGAUAAUAUUUCGAACCGCAUGGUUCGAUAGUGAAAGAUGGCUUUGCUAUCACUUAUAGAUGGACCUGCGCCGUAUUAGCUAGUUGGUAAGGUAACGGCUUACCAAGGCAACGAUACGUAGCCGACCUGAGAGGGUGAUCGGCCACACUGGAACUGAGACACGGUCCAGACUCCUACGGGAGGCAGCAGUAGGGAAUCUUCCGCAAUGGGCGCAAGCCUGACGGAGCAACGCCGCGUGAGUCAUGAAGGUCUUCGGAUCGUAAAACUCUGUUAUUAGGGAAGAACAAACGUGUAAGUAACUGUGCACGUCUUGACGGUACCUAAUCAGAAAGCCACGGCUAACUACGUG